Molecule: ribosomal RNA, 106 nt
Filed under: Lepanthopsis floripecten
Lineage: Eukaryota; Viridiplantae; Streptophyta; Magnoliopsida; Asparagales; Orchidaceae
Description: partial 18S small subunit ribosomal RNA
Rfam family: Eukaryotic small subunit ribosomal RNA
Source: RNAcentral
GUUUCGCCCGCCCGUGACUCUGCGAGAAGUCCAUUGAACCUUAUCAUUUAGAGGAAGGAGAAGUCGUAACAAGGUUUCCGUAGGUGAACCUGCGGAAGGAUCAUUG